This is a non-coding RNA of Hordeum vulgare subsp. vulgare (domesticated barley), 115 nucleotides long. NCBI's taxonomy places the organism in Eukaryota, Viridiplantae, Streptophyta, Magnoliopsida, Poales, Poaceae. The record is from Rfam.
AAGGUACUCCCUCCGUCCCGAAUUACUUGUUGUAGGAAUGAAGUUAUCUAGACGUGAUUUAGUUCUAGAUGUAUUUAGUUUUACUAUAAGUAAUUCUGGACGGAGGGAAUACUAG